Sceloporus undulatus (fence lizard) is the source of this 492-nucleotide long non-coding RNA. RefSeq lists it as uncharacterized. The record is from RefSeq and is a predicted model, not a curated record. NCBI's taxonomy places the organism in Eukaryota, Metazoa, Chordata, Lepidosauria, Squamata, Phrynosomatidae. The transcript is spliced from 5 exons.
UAGUCAUGUCGGAUGGAUGGAGGGAGAGCUUCGUUUGUGAUGGCAGAGAAGACCCUCCUUGCCCUGAAGCCAGAGACCUUGAUGGAGAACUGAAGGCUUGAAGGGAUCUGAACAGCGGUGAAUGAAGUUCCUUCCCAAAUCACAACAGGAGCCAAAGGAAGUCACCCUGCAGCACCCAGUAAGGUUGCCAACUAAGUCACUACUGCAAGUUUGCAUUUACCUGCUUAUAUUGAAAAAGAUUUGUUAAGGUUGACGUGUAUAUCUUCUACAUAACCACAUUAGCUCUACACUGGAGGAAGAUCAUCCAGAGGGUUUGAAGAAGGUUUCUUAACUGUGGUUAAUAGAGCUGAUGGGAAUUGCAGAAUGACAGUAUCUGAAGAGCUGUGUUCCUCAGCUUUGCUUUAGAACAUUGGCUUCCAUGCAACUGCUAAGGUAAAUUAAUUUACUUCCUGCUAAUAUUAUGUUGAGAACCAGCAUGGUGUAGUGGUCUGA